RNAcentral lists this ribosomal RNA (541 nucleotides) under uncultured archaeon. RNAcentral describes it as "bacterial SSU rRNA". It matches the Rfam family "Archaeal small subunit ribosomal RNA", at positions 326 to 869 of the family's 1478-position model. The record is from RNAcentral.
CGGGGUGCAGCAGGCGCGAAAACUUCGCAAUGCACGAAAGUGCGACGAGGCUACUUCGAGUGCCGUCCGCUGAGGAUGGCUUUUGCCAAGUCUAAAUAGCUUGGAGAAUAAGGGGAGGGCAAGUCUGGUGUCAGCCGCCGCGGUAAUACCAGCUCCCCGAGUGGUCGGGAUGAUUAUUGGGCCUAAAGCAUCCGUAGCCGGUUCCGUGGGUCUCCUGUUAAAUUCAACGGCUCAACCGUUGAGCUGCAGGAGAUACCGCGGGGCUAGGAGGCGGGAGAGGCGGACGGUACUCCGUGGGUAGGGGUAAAAUCCUCUGAUCCUCGGAAGACCACCAGUGGCGAAGGCGGUCCGCCAGAACGCGCUCGACGGUGAGGGAUGAAAGCUGGGGGAGCGAACCGGAUUAGAUACCCGGGUAGUCCCAGCUGUAAACGAUGCGAGCUAGGUGAUAGAAUGAUUUCGUAUCAUUCUAGUGCCGCAGGGAAGCCGUUAAGCUCGCCGCCUGGGGAGUACGGUCGCAAGACUGAAACUUAAAGGAAUUGGC